CCUACGGGUGGCAGCAGUGGGGGAUAUUGCACAAUGGGGGAAACCCUGAUGCAGCGACGCCGCGUGGGUGAAGAAGGAUUUCGGUAUGUAAAGCCCUAUCAGCAGGGAAGAAAGAAGACGGUACCUGACUAAGAAGCCCCGGCUAACUACGUGCCAGCAGCCGCGGUAAUACGUAGGGGGCGAGCGUUAUCCGGAUUCACUGGGUGUAAAGGGAGCGUAGACGGCCGUGCAAGCCAGGAGUGAAAGCCCGGGGCCCAACCCCGGGACUGCUCUUGGAACUGGGCGGCUGGAGUGCGGGAGGGGCAGGCGGAAUUCCUGGUGUAGCGGUGAAAUGCGUAGAUAUCAGGAGGAACACCGGCGGCGAAGGCGGCCUGCUGGACCGCGACUGACGUUGAGGCUCGAAAGCGUGGGGAGCGAACAGGAUUAGAUACCCCUGUAGUC
This 441-nucleotide ribosomal RNA is filed under the name uncultured bacterium. RNAcentral describes it as "partial 16S ribosomal RNA". It matches the Rfam family "Bacterial small subunit ribosomal RNA", at positions 338 to 795 of the family's 1533-position model. The record is from RNAcentral.